GCCUCUAUAGCUCAGUGGUAGAGCGUUGCACUUGUAAUGCAAAGGUCCAUCGUUCAAUCCGGUGUGGAGGCA
Fusarium oxysporum f. sp. cubense is the source of this 72-nucleotide non-coding RNA. NCBI's taxonomy places the organism in Eukaryota, Fungi, Ascomycota, Sordariomycetes, Hypocreales, Nectriaceae. The record is from Rfam.